AAUGAGCUUCCUCCUCCAUGGCUUCGCAUGAAGUGAACAACCUUCAAUCUGGAGCUUCAACUCGUAAAUGAAAAAAUAGAAUAAAAUAAAAUAAAAUUUUUGUUCGUUUAAAUUUUUUGAUUUUUUUUUCCUUUUUUGUAUUUCACUACUAUCCGAUUCUGUUGGAAUUUUCCAAACCUUUGAAUGUCUUGGAUCGUAGUAGCUCGAGCUCAGCACGAAUAUCAACGAUUAAUUUCGGAUUGAAAGUUGAGUCCAUUUGUCUUAGUUUGCGUUAUUGCUGGUAUAAUCGCAUGAUACUGGUUUGAUGAAGCUGCAACUAUGUCUAUGCUGGAUUUUCACUUCUAGGAUUUUUAAAGAGUGGUGUCUAUGGGCAACCGAAGUACAACACAACUAGUUAAGUUGGAACUCUUGGCCUUAAGAGGACUCAAGCAGUUGAGUGAAGAGACAAUCUUUAGUUUCUGACCCACAGCUUGUGUUCCUCAAAUUGAGAUAAUCAUUCAAUGGGAUUCCAGAGCUGUGCUGCUUGGUCAAGUAAACGAUCCUUUUGUUUCAAAGUAUGAGUCCAAAACUCCUUGCUGUGUGUUACUUUGCUUGCUAUGGCAUGGAUGAUGCACGGACUUUAACCUGAUGGUGAUGUCUAGCAAGUUUGAAUUCACUUCAAGUAGCCCAGAUAGACCAUUACACUCUAGUGGGCAACGUGGAGCCCACAUGGCCGUUCCACUGGACAGAUCUGGUAGCUUUCGUGAGUUGGAGAAUCCAAAUUUAUCUACUCUUCCAAAUAUGUCAAGAAGUGCUUCUGCUGUUUCACAAGGGGAAGUUUUAAAUUUCUUGCAAUGCUUGCAUUUUGGUCGAAAGUUGGUUGCUACAGAUGAAAAGUCUAAUCGUCAAGGGGACUUUAGCAGACAGUUACAACUUGCUCUUAGUAUGUCACCGGAUGAUUCUCCAUCUAGUUCUUCAAAAGGUAAAUUGCCAUCUGUGAUGCCAGAAGAAAUCAAGCGGAUGAAGGUUAGCCUACGUGAGUGCUCUAUCAAAGCCAGGGAACGCUUAAAACUUUUCAAUGAAGCCUUAUCUGUAUUUAAUAAGUUCUUCCCAAGUGUACCAUCAAAAAAGAGAUCCCGGUUAGAAGGUUAUAACAAUGAGCGGUCCAAUUUCAUUUUAUCUGGUGAGCGGUCAGCUAGGGGGCAAGCUGGUAAGUUAGGAAAUCAGAGUCAUGCAAUCCCUGGUGUUUUUGAGCAUGAGAUGCAGAAAUCUGAAGAACGAAUAAAAAAUGCUUUGACGAAUAAACGCACAAGAACUUCAUUGGUGGAUGCAAGGGGGAUGGAUGUUCGUAAUAAUCCUCCUGUGAGACCAUCUGGAGCUGCAGAUAGGGAAAGAGAUGCACUAAGGCUUGCUAAUAGUGGUGCUGUUCCAGGUGAAGAUAGGAGUUUAUCAAUUGGCGUCGAUGGUUGGGAGAAGUCAAAAAUGAAGAAAAAGCGAUCUGUAAUAAAGCCAGAUGCCUCUUCAAGCAGUCAAUCGACAAAACCAGUGGAUAGCUAUGAUGAAGUUAAACAACAAUUGCAGCAAAGACCUGUCUCUGAUGCUCGAUCGCGAAUAAAUAAAGAUAACCAUGGGUUUAGGCCAGGGGUUGCUAAUGGAGCUUCUGCUGUUGGAAAAUCUGAUGGUGUUGCCCAACAAAAUAGCUUGGGUAUUCGUUCAUCCAUGUCCAGGAGUGACUUGGACGGCAAUUCCCUUGUCAAUGACAGGAGAGAUAAUUCUAUUGGUUCAGACAAAGAAAGAGUGAACCUUCGGGGUGUUAAUAAGUCAAAUGUCCGGGACGAAUUUGUUUCAACUAGUCCUACAUCAAAUGCUAAAGUUAAUCCAUCUGUUCGAGCUCCACGGUCCAGUUCAGGCAUCGCUCCAAAAUUUUCUCCAAUUGUUCAUAGAGCAGUUGCUUCUAAUGAUUGGGAUAUGUCAAAUUGCACAAAUAAGUCUAUUUCUGCUGUUGGUGUGAGCAAUCGGAAACGUAUGAUAUCAAUGCGGUCCUCAUCCCCUCCAGUUUCCCAUUGGGCAAGCCACAGACCACAGAAGAUCUCCCGCUCUGCAAGGAGGACCAAUCUGGGUCCGAUAGUUUCAAGCAAUGAUGACAACCCUUUGGAUAGCACAUCUGAUGUUGUGGGCAAUGAUACUGGCUUGGGAUUUGGUAGACGCAUGUCUAGUAGUUCUCCACAGCAGGUGAAAAUAAAAGGUGAACCAUUAUCCUCAGCUGCUCAAUCUGAAAGCGAGGAAUCUGGGGCUGUUGAAAUCAAAUCUAGAGAAAAGACACGAAAGUCGGAAGAUUUAGACGAUAAAUCUGAACAAGGUGUUCAAAAGGUACCUGCUUUAGUUCUGCCUACUAGGAAGAAUAAGUCGGUUGAUGAAGAUAUUGGAGAUGGGGUUCGGAGACAAGGAAGGACUGGCCGUGCUUUUACUUCCACUAGAUCUCUCAUGCCAAUAACAGUUGAGAAGAUUGAUGUUGUAGGAACUGCAAAACAGCUUAGAAGUGCCAGACUUGGAUUUGAUAAAGUUGAAAGCAAGGCAGGUCGUCCACCUACUAGGAAAUUUACUGAUCGCAAGGCAUAUAAACGUCAAAAGCAUUCAGCAAUGAAUGUGGGGACAGAUUUUCUUGUUGGAUCAGAUCAUGGGCAUGAAGAACUAUUGGCUGCUGCUAAUGCUGUUACAAAUCCUGGCCGCACUUUUUUCAGCCCAUUUUGGAGACAGAUGGAGCAAUUCUUUCGUUUUAUAUCUGAAGCAGAUAUUACACACUUAAGAAAACAAGGUGACCUUGAAGGUGCUGCAUCACGGCCAAAAAUUGUCUCAGACAAGAACGCUUACAACAUUAGUCAGGAUAAUUUUGAGCACAUUGAAAAGGAAGCAAGCAAAGUUCCUUUAGAACAUAUAAUUCAAGAGUCGAAAGAUCAUACUGUAAUUCCUUUAUACCAGAGACUCUUGGCCUCGUUAAUUCCAGAGGAGGUGGCUGACAACGAAAGUGAAGACACCCAGUUUGAUAGAUACAGAAUGCCCGAGUUAGAUGAACAUUAUAAGCCAAACAAAUUGAGUCAUGAAAUUUCACCUAGUUCUCAGUUUUCUGGGCAUUCUGCUAAUGAUGAUUAUAACAUGAGAAGAGGAUCCGGAUCAGAUCAAUAUAUGCCUGAAACAGAUAGACAGGGCAUUCCAAAUUCUGUGAGGAAUUCCCUAAAUGGCUUGAUCUCCAAUCAAGCUUUGAUGCCUGGAAUGGCCUGUUCAGAGUUUCAGUAUGAUGACAUGCCGUUAAAUGAGAAACUUCUCUUGGAGAUUCAAAGUAUUGGAAUCUUCCCAGAUUCGGUGCCUGAAAUGUUACAGAUAGAGGAGGAGGAGAUCACUAACGACAUACGUCAGUUGGAAGAGAAGAAGAAUGAGUUGGUUUCAAGAAAGAACUCUUUGCUCCACAAACUGUUGCAGUCUGCCCUGGGCACAAAGCAGCUUCAAGAAAAAGAGUUUGAAAGGCUUGCCAUGGAUAAACUUGUUGCAAUGGCCUACGAGAAGUAUAUGGCUUGCAAAGCUUCUAAUGCGUCUAGUGGAAAGAAUUCCAAUAACAAAAUGGCAAAGCAAGCUGCCUUGGCAUUUGUUAAGAGAACAUUGAACCGAUGUCAUAAAUUUGAGGACACAGGAAAGAGCUUCUUCAGUGAGCCUUCAUUUAGAGAGAUGUAUUCUUCCUGGUCUGUCAAUCCCAAUGGUGAAAGACAAUCAGAUCCUGUGGAGGGUGAGUCAGAGAAAUCAUAUGCCUCCAUUCAAUCUCUGGAUGCCAGAGUCUCAGCUUUGGCAGGCUCACAGAAUAGCCCUUCACACUUUAGUCAGAAUCUGGAAAACCACGAUGUUACCUCUGGCAAUGUGCUUCCACCUGCUAAUCACCAAGCUGAGAGAACAACCGGAAGAGAAGAAUUAUGGUCAAACAGGGUGAAAAAGAGAGAACUGUUGCUUGAUGAUGUCGGUAAUGCAGGUGCCCCAUCAGUCAUUGGGAGUUGUAUUUCAAGCAGUGCAAAAGGGAAGAGGAGUGAAAGGGAUAGAGAUGGUAAAGGGCAUAACAGAGAGGUGUCAUCUAGAAAUGGAACUAAAAUUGGUAGGCCAGGAUUAUCAAAUACUAAAGGGGAAAGAAAAACUAAGACAAAGCCUAAGCACAAAACUGCCCAGUUAUCAAUUUCUGUUAAUGGCCUUCUAGGCAAGAUGACAGAGCAGCCAAAAUCGACAUUGUCUCCUCUACCAAAAUCAAGUACUUCAAAUGUUGGUUCAAAAGAAAAAGAUCAAUUUGGCUUGGAUGGACUUGAUGACCCCGACUCAAUAGAUUUAUCUAAUCUUCAAUUACCAGGAAUGGAUGUAUUAGGUGUUCCUGAUGAUCUUGAUGGCCAGGGUCAGGAUCUGGGUUCAUGGUUAAAUAUUGAUGAGGAUGGUUUACAAGAUCAAGACUUCAUGGGCCUUGAGAUUCCAAUGGAUGACCUCUCAGAUUUAAAUAUGAUGGUUUGAAGUUUGUCCUCCUUGUAUAGUCUUCAAGUCUUGUUUAUUAAUACUUUACAAACUAAAGGGAAAUCCUACGUAAAGAGUGACUGGUAGUUGCAUAGUUAUUGGCUACCGAUCCAAAUUAGGUUACUAGAUUCUUUGAGGCUCCUCUUCAAGUUAUUUCAAGUAAAUCUUUCGGAUGUUUGGAAUUUUGCUCCUGUAUUUAGUUGGUGACUUUGACUGUAAAGAUAGUCUUGUUCAAGCUACAAGUUAGUAUAGUCAUAGUGAUAUUUAGGGUACACAGCAUUCAGAAGUAACGGAGCCUCUCCAUCAUGGUAUGGAGGAUUCUAGCAUUAGAAUGGAAAGGAGUAUUAACUAAUCGCAGACUUCUAGAGAGCUUGCUUCGAUCCUUCAAUCCAUUCACUUAGGGAACUGCUUCACACUUUCCAUAGCUUGAUGUUACCAAAGAGAAUCCAUUUGCCUGGUAACUACAAAAGCUUGAGAUCUCCAAUUCAUUCGGCUAAGACACUGAUUUCAAUUUUCCAUACUUUGAGAGGAAAUGCCGCAGACACAUGAAAGUUCGAUUACAUGCAGCCAAUGAGAUUUGAAAAUAACUGUUUAGCCAUCAAAUUGUAGUCCAGGAAAAUAACUCGUCCAAAUCCAAGGAAAGAACAACAGUCGGUUCCUCUGAUAUGUAGUAACCUAGGGAUUAUUUUCUUAGACUGCCUUUGGCUCUUUACUUCACUUUGGCCAGUUAUUUUUUUUUCUUUUACCAUAAAACUAUUUGUAGACUGCGAUAUUUACAAAGAAAUUGUAAUCAAUGGACACCAUCAGGAGUGUGAACUUUGUUAAGACUUCAUACCAGAACUUUGAGAAUUCCUUCCUGUAAAUUCGUUAUUCUUUCCUUAAAUGAUCACUUCCAUGGAAAAUUAGUGUCAGAUUGCAACCCCAUCUCAGCCACGGAGGAUCUGAAAUCAAAGGAGGGGGACAGGCUAGCAGCAGACAAAUGGCAGCUCGCCAUCAUGAAGCUGUGGUGCCGUGGAUGUUGGAUGAUUCUUACAAGUGCAAUAUGGAUGCAGCAAUCAUCUAUUAGAAACUCACAGGAACCCAAUGUCACAAUGGAGAAUUUUUUAACCUCAAAUGGGCAAUGUUAAUCUUGGAAGACGAUGGUAGGAACUCACAGGAAGGCGAUGUUAGCCUUCAGAGAAAAGUCAGUCUCCAGAUUUGGGAGUGGUAACUUCUUUGAUUGUUUAGAAAUUGCUUUGACAAAUUUUCAACAUGCUACAACCUUUCUUUGAUGUCCUGCUAGAUAAGCAACAAAUGGAUGAUAGGUGGUCUCCUCACAAAUAAAAAAUGCAACCAAAUGGCCCAUAAUCUGGCAAGCCAUCUUAGAACAUCAACAGAACUAGUGUGGAUCGAAGACGAUUCCCUUAGAUGCAUUCUGCCGUCAACCUUUAUGUUUCUUUUUCUCAUGUGAUCUUAAGUUUUUUUUCUCCAAGCUUUCUGUACAAUUAGUAUGAUAUUAGAAAAGGAUAUUAUACGUAAUUAACUAGUAGUGUGUUGAUUAUAUAUAGGGUUCAGUUGUGGACUUUAGAAGGUGAAUCAUUCUGGUGAGAGUUUAUAUCGUAGGACUUUGAAAGAGAGGCCUGUCGAAAGGCUACUGAUAUAUUGUAAUUUUUGUUCUAACGACAAACAUUCAAACAUAAUUGCAAUAAUGGUAUGAAAUUACUAAAGGGUGAUAAGAAA
This is an RNA transcript of Cucumis melo (muskmelon), 6234 nucleotides long. RefSeq lists it as uncharacterized. The record is from RefSeq and is a predicted model, not a curated record. NCBI's taxonomy places the organism in Eukaryota, Viridiplantae, Streptophyta, Magnoliopsida, Cucurbitales, Cucurbitaceae. The transcript is spliced from 21 exons.